Pangasianodon gigas (Mekong giant catfish) is the source of this 73-nucleotide non-coding RNA. The record is from the annotation of a GenBank genome assembly. NCBI's taxonomy places the organism in Eukaryota, Metazoa, Chordata, Actinopteri, Siluriformes, Pangasiidae.
GGUGUGAUAGCUCAGUGGUUAAGCUGGCAGACUAUUGAUUAGAAGGUUUUGAGUUCAAAUCCCAGCACCACCA